GAUGAAGAACGCAGCGAAAUGCGAUAAGUAAUGUGAAUUGCAGAAUUCAGUGAAUCAUCGAAUCUUUGAAUGCACAUUGCGCCCGUCAGUAUUCUGGCGGGCAUGCCUGUUCGAGCGUCAUUACGCCCCUCAAGUCCCCUGUGGACUUGGUGUUGGGGAUCGGCGAGGCUGGUUUUCCAGCACAGCCGUCCCUUAAAUUAAUUGGCGGUCUCGCCGUGGCCCUCCUCUGCGCAGUAGUAAAACACUCGCAACAGGAGCCCGGCGCGGUCCACUGCCGUAAAACCCCCCAACUUUUUAUAGUUGACCUCGAAUCAGGUAGGACUACCCGCUGAACUUAAGCAUAUCAAUAAGCGGAGGA
This 358-nucleotide unclassified non-coding RNA is filed under the name soil metagenome. Its description in RNAcentral is "partial contains 5.8S ribosomal RNA, internal transcribed spacer 2, and large subunit ribosomal RNA". The stretch from base 1 to 120 matches the Rfam family "5.8S ribosomal RNA", at positions 35 to 154 of the family's 154-position model. The record is from RNAcentral.